Molecule: ribosomal RNA, 434 nt
Filed under: uncultured Oscillospiraceae bacterium
Lineage: Bacteria; Bacillati; Bacillota; Clostridia; Eubacteriales; Oscillospiraceae
Description: bacterial SSU rRNA
Rfam family: Bacterial small subunit ribosomal RNA
Source: RNAcentral
ACGGAAGGCAGCAGUGGGGAAUAUUGCACAAUGGGGGAAACCCUGAUGCAGCGAUGCCGCGUGGAGGAAGAAGGUUUUCGGAUUGUAAACUCCUGUCUUAAAGGACGAUAAUGACGGUACUUUAGGAGGAAGCUCCGGCUAACUACGUGCCAGCAGCCGCGGUAAUACGUAGGGAGCGAGCGUUGUCCGGAUUUACUGGGUGUAAAGGGUGCGUAGGCGGGCUUGCAAGUCAGGCGUGAAAUACCGGGGCUUAACUCCGGAGCUGCGCUUGAAACUGUAAGUCUUGAGUGAAGUAGAGGCAGGCGGAAUUCCCAGUGUAGCGGUGAAAUGCGUAGAUAUUGGGAGGAACACCAGUGGCGAAGGCGGCCUGCUGGGCUUUAACUGACGCUGAGGCACGAAAGUAUGGGGAGCAAACAGGAUUAGAUACCCUGGUA